Galleria mellonella (greater wax moth) is the source of this 1378-nucleotide long non-coding RNA. RefSeq lists it as uncharacterized. The transcript is spliced from 2 exons. The record is from RefSeq and is a predicted model, not a curated record. Lineage: Eukaryota; Metazoa; Arthropoda; Insecta; Lepidoptera; Pyralidae.
CGAAAUAAUUAUGGAAUUAAUUAUAUUUAAAAAGUAAAUUAAUGUCGCAUCGCUAGCAUUUUUAAAAAAGGAAUACGGUAUACCGUCUUCUCCCGGUGCAGAGUCUUUAAUAGAAGCUAGAACACCUUUAAGUUCUACUAGAGUAAAAGGAGAGUCAAGUUCGAAUAAUUCGUCAGAGACGGAUAGAGAAAUAUUGUAAAGGCAUUCCGGCACAUAACUAGGAGCAAGGCGAUCUAAAAAUUUAUUCGCUAAAGUUAAAUCGAGUGCAGAACGUGAUGUAUGAUCACUAAAGGCAGAUCUGAAUCUUUUAAUAUUAUUCCAAACGACUGAUGAAUUAACUUCUGGACAGAUAGAAGAACAAAAUCUUCUCCAGCCUUCUAAUUUCUUUUUUUUCAGUAGUUUUCGAGUAGAACGUGAAACUGCGGUGUAAAUUUCAAAAUUUUCUGUUGUCAUGUAAUUAUUAUAAUUUUUUUCAGCCUCUUUACGAUUUUUAAUUGCUUCCGUACAAUCUUUGUCCCACCAAGGUGGGGAGGGAAUUUUCCCUGAAGCACUAUUUUUAACAGGAAAUAAUAAAUCAGCAACCUCCUUCAUAUUUAUCAUCAAGUCAUUACAACAUUGAUGUUCAUUUCCAUGGUAAACAAUAGGUAACUCCGAUAUUUUAUUAUCUAAAUAUUGUUUGUAAAUAUUCCAGUCUACAUUUGAUAAAUUAUAUUUAAGCCGAGGACCACUCUUUCGACUUGAGGGAAUGGAAAUUGGAAAAGAAAGAAUGAGGGGAAAGUGAUCGCUUCCGAAGGUAGAGGAAUGAGGAUACCACGACAGUGAAGAAGCUAAAUCAGAAGAACAUAUUGAAAUGUCAGGAGCACUAAACCCUUCAUUUGGUGCAGUUCUACGUGUUGGUACAUCUGAGUUAAUAAUACAUAAGUUGAAAGAAGAUUGAAAAUGAGAUUUAUUGGACGGAGAUGAUGAUGUUAAUACAUCUGAAUAUAGUUUAGAAGUGGGAGGAUGAAAUUUUGAUGCUUCAGCAUAAGAAACACAACUGUGGGCCAUUGUUUCUUUAAUGGCUUUCUGACGUGCAUAUUCAGGACAUUUCUUACUAAUUGCUGAAUGAGAACCAUUACACAAGAUACAAGAAACAUUUUCCUCAUCUACUUCACAUUUAUCACCUGUAUGAUUUAGCCUGCAUUUAUAACAUCGAGGAUUUGAACGACACUGCAUCUUGACAUGUCCGAACCUACAGCAGUUAUAGCAUUGGAUAGUGGGGUAAAUGUACAAAUCUACAGUUAAUGAUGUGUAAAACAUAAAUACUCUUUUUGGUAAUAUUUGUCCAUCAAAAGUAAUAACAAUGGUUUCAGUAUUAAUAAAACUUGGUUGUCCUUCA